This 235-nucleotide long non-coding RNA is filed under the name Carica papaya (papaya). Its description in RNAcentral is "long non-coding RNA (CPAP_LNC009821)". The record is from RNAcentral. Lineage: Eukaryota; Viridiplantae; Streptophyta; Magnoliopsida; Brassicales; Caricaceae.
UUGAAUCCAACAAAGAGAAAUCUCGGCCUAGGAAGAAAAGACACCAAAAGGUGCUAGAAACUCGAAGGGUAAUGGGCCUCACGACUAAGGAACAACUCAACCAAAAAUUCCAAAAAAAAAAAGAAAGCCUAAAUAUAGUAUGGGUAUAGGUGCCCAUAGGGUACACAUGUGCUGCUAUGCACAUACAGGAUACUUGACCACCAUGUCCACCAGUGUUUCAAGGUCCUGUGAUGAA